AAUUAAUCCUGUAUAAAUUCUUUUUAAUGCUGUUCGAUCUGCUCCCCAAUCAAUACCAGCCAUACAUCUCAUAAUGUUUCAUAUUGUUUAUCUAUGAUUCUUUCUAUAUGUACUUUCCAUAUCAUUUUUUCACCAAACCAUAGACCUAACAAAUUUGAUAUUUUUGACUUGUUCUAAAACUUGAUUGCAUCGUAUUAGUUUUAUAUUUGAUCUUUUCCUUUUCUGUGUAAACACCAUUGCUUUUGUUUUUUCCACUGAGAACUUAAAUCCCCAUUGAUUUGCCCAUUGUCCUAUUCUAAUAAUCUCAUCCUGUAUUUUCUUUUCAACAAGCAGGUAUGUGAUUGUAACUCUCCGUGGACCAGGUUCAGAACAAUAGUGUUCCGGAAUUAAGGAGAGGAAAACUAACCACCACCCAGGAGUUUAACUAUACAUCCUCCACUGUUCCACUGUUCCGGUUACAACUGAUUGUGCAGGUGGAGAUGGCUUUGAGAGAUUGAGCAAUAACAGGAGGAAUCAUUGUCUACUUUUGACCUCCUUCCAGUCACCAGACGGUUAUCUGGGUUCUCCUCGUAAAGGGAUGAGAGGCAUCCGCCAGCGCAGUAACAGUGAAAUGAUGACGGCAACGAGUGCCGGUCCUUCUCUGGAUGGACGCGCAUGCACCACGAAAACGGCAGCACUUUUUCGAUACACAGAAACGGUGUGUCGGGAGAGAGAGCUUCUUUGACAUGCUAAGAGAGUUCAUCGCAACAGUGGAGUCAUAUAUGCAAGCUUUUCUGCCUGGAAUGUGUGAUUUAAAGCACAAGGAUUUCCUCAACCUCCAGGAUCCACCAUUCCUGUGGAAAUGGGAGUUGGACUGGAAGUGCUGUCGUGCCCGUGAUCGUUGUGCCGCUGAGUCACUGCACUAGGACUGCCAGCAGUCCUUGACCCAGAUGCUGCAGAUCUCCCACGUGAAGGAAGUGGACACACUGAGGCAGCGUCUGCUGGCUCAGGGGCAGAAAAUGGAGGCAGCGUCUGCUGGCUCAGGGGCAGAAAAUGGAGGCAGCGUCUGCUGGCUCAGGGGCAGAAACUGGAGGCAGCACAGCAGCAGAGACUGGCCAAGCUGGAGACCCACCUCUCCAAGAAGGCGCACCUCAUCAAACACUAGUACUCGACACAAACAAAGGAGCCACCAGUGGACGGACGGACGGACGGACGGCCGCACGCACUGCCGUGCGCAGGGUUUGACCACACGCCAAAGAGUAUUCUUCCCAAAGAAUACCCUAGUUUGAGGGCAAAACUAAGGAAGGACAACCCCACUGUUCCGGUUACAACUGACCAUGCAAAGAGGCUGUGGUCAUGUCUAAAGCAUUGCCAUUCCUGUUCCCACUGUGUAUCCCACCCCUCUCAGGGGCAGAAACUGGAGGCUGCACAGCAGCAGAGACUGGCCAAGCUGGAGACCCACCUAUCCAAGAAGGAGCACCCUAGCUUCGGGCGCCAUUUGAGGGCGUCCGUGCCUCAGGGGCGGACGCAAAAAAGUCCAAGCCUGCUUCUAGCAGAGAGGAGGAGGAAAAAGAGAGUUACAAUCUCACCAUUCAGGGAGUAUACAAGGGACGACAUGUCAAGACUGGACAGCUGGCUGCCAUCAAAGUCAUGGACGUCACAGAGGAUAAAGAGGAGGAAAUCAAGCUGGAUAUAUAUAUAUAUAUAUAUGCAACAGCUCCUGCGUGGGAGGAAUGAAUAGGAGGCCCAUUCUCACCCUGUUCAUCUUUUAUAUCAUUUUAUUUAGUUCAUUGUAAAUAUUUGAUUUGAAUGUAUUAUUUGAAUGUAUUUAUUACACUGUAUAUAGUUCAUUUUAUAAAGGUUUAGUGUUCUGUCUUUUGUUACAUAUUGAUUUAUUUGUUAGUUGUGUUUAAUAAAUGUUUUUCUCUAA
Girardinichthys multiradiatus is the source of this 1909-nucleotide long non-coding RNA. RefSeq lists it as uncharacterized. The transcript has 6 exons. The record is from RefSeq and is a predicted model, not a curated record. Lineage: Eukaryota; Metazoa; Chordata; Actinopteri; Cyprinodontiformes; Goodeidae.